This 253-nucleotide ribosomal RNA is filed under the name uncultured bacterium. RNAcentral describes it as "partial 16S ribosomal RNA". It matches the Rfam family "Bacterial small subunit ribosomal RNA", at positions 524 to 776 of the family's 1533-position model. The record is from RNAcentral.
UACGGAGGAUCCAAGCGUUAUCCGGAUUUACUGGGCGUAAAGCGUGCGCAGGCGGUUUUGUAAGCCAGAUGUGAAAGCCCCGGGCUUAACCUGGGAAUGGCAUUUGGGACUGCAAGGCUGGAGUGUGGCAGAGGAGACUGGAAUUCCUGGUGUAGCAGUGAAAUGCGUAGAUAUCAGGAGGAACACCGAUGGCGAAGGCAGGUCUCUGGGCUGACACUGACGCUCAUGCACGAAAGCGUGGGGAGCAAACAGG